This 72-nucleotide transfer RNA is filed under the name Egretta garzetta (little egret). It matches the Rfam family "tRNA". Rfam says of the family: Transfer RNA (tRNA) molecules are approximately 80 nucleotides in length. Their secondary structure includes four short double-helical elements and three loops (D, anti-codon, and T loops). Further hydrogen bonds mediate the characteristic L-shaped molecular structure. tRNAs have two regions of fundamental functional importance: the anti-codon, which is responsible for specific mRNA codon recognition, and the 3' end, to which the tRNAs corresponding amino acid is attached (by aminoacyl-tRNA synthetases). tRNAs cope with the degeneracy of the genetic code in two manners: having more than one tRNA (with a specific anti-codon) for a particular amino acid; and 'wobble' base-pairing, i.e. permitting non-standard base-pairing at the 3rd anti-codon position. Lineage: Eukaryota; Metazoa; Chordata; Aves; Pelecaniformes; Ardeidae. The record is from Rfam by way of RNAcentral.
GACUCAUUGGCCUAGGGGUAUGAUUCUCACUUUGUGUGUGAGAGGUCCUGGGUUCAACUCCCAGAUGAGCCC